GACGAACGCUGGCGGCGUGCUUAACACAUGCAAGUCACGGGGGCCCCGCGAGGGGUAACCGGCGAACGGGUGCGUAACACGUGAGCGACCUGCCUUUCCGCGGGGGAUAGCCGGCCCAACGGCCGGGUAAUACCGCAUACGCUGUUUCCGGGGCAUCCCGGGAUCAGGAAACCUCCGGGGCGGAGAGAGGGGCUCGCGACCUAUCAGCUAGUUGGCGAGGUAACGGCUCACCAAGGCGGCGACGGGUAGCUGGUCUGAGAGGAUGGCCAGCCACAUUAGGACUGAGAUACGGCCCAGACUCCUACGGGAGGCAGCAGUGGGGAAUAUUGCGCAAUGGCCUAACGGCUGACGCAGCGACGCCGCGUGUGGGAGGACGCCCUCGGGGUGUAAACCACUGUUGCCCGGGACGAACACCCUGAAUCUCAGGGCUGACGGUACCGGGUGAGGAAGCACCGGCUAACUCCGUGACAGCAGCCGCGGUAAC
This 484-nucleotide ribosomal RNA is filed under the name uncultured bacterium. Its description in RNAcentral is "bacterial SSU rRNA". It matches the Rfam family "Bacterial small subunit ribosomal RNA", at positions 28 to 524 of the family's 1533-position model. The record is from RNAcentral.